RNAcentral lists this small RNA (687 nucleotides) under Pan troglodytes (chimpanzee). RNAcentral describes it as "processed transcript". The record is from RNAcentral. Lineage: Eukaryota; Metazoa; Chordata; Mammalia; Primates; Hominidae.
CUACACCCUCACAGUUUGCUCUGCUCUUCCAACACCAGUGGAAGAUGAUCACAUCCCAGGGAUCAGUGUCGUUUAGGGAUGUGACUGUGGGCUUCACUCAAGAGGAGUGGCAGCAUCUGGACCCUGCUCAGAGGACCCUGUACAGGGAUGUGAUGCUGGAGAACUACAGCCACCUUGUCUCAGUAGGGUAUUGCAUUCCUAAACCAGAAGUGAUUCUCAAGUUGGAGAAAGGCGAGGAGCCAUGGAUAUUAGAGGAAAAAUUUCCAAGCCAGAGUCAUCUGGGUGAGUUAGUAUGUGCCAGAUGGAAUUUAAAGGAAGGUAGAUCACAAAGGGUAAGUUUGGAUAAUAAGACCAUUGAAAUGUUCUUUAGGAAUCAUGUUUUAGAGGCUCCAGACCUUUGGAAGUAACAUGUUGACGUGACCCAAAUAUGCAGUGACUCUGAAUCACCCAGCAUCUCCCAGUAUCACUUUCAUACACACAUCUUGUUUUUUUUUUUUUAAAUUGUGAUAUAAACUAUAUAGUUUAGCCAGAGAUUAAUAAAAUUUUAUAUAUAUAUGUAACACUCAUGUACCCAUCAUUGAGAUGAAUAUAUAAAGUGAUUUUUCAACACCCCCAGAAAGCUCCCUGUUGUACUCUUCCCAGUAAAGAGCAUCCCUCCUUUUGUAAAAUUAAAUAUAUUUUUCUAUA